This is a long non-coding RNA of Peromyscus californicus insignis, 4832 nucleotides long. RefSeq lists it as uncharacterized. The record is from RefSeq and is a predicted model, not a curated record. The transcript has 3 exons. NCBI's taxonomy places the organism in Eukaryota, Metazoa, Chordata, Mammalia, Rodentia, Cricetidae.
CAGAGGAGGAUUCUUGGGCCAAGGGGGUCGAAGAGCGGGAGGAUGGAUCCACAGCAGGUACUGAUGGGCUCCUGGGACUAGGGAGGGUGCUCCCUGACAAAGGUGCUCCCUGUUCGGUGCUGAGCCCUACUGCAAUGAUCUGGAAAUCUCCAUAGCUCCAUCUCUCCAAAGGCUGCCCAUGGGAAUCACCCUCUCCACAAGAGGAUAGAGUUCACAGGCACAGAGCAUAUGGCCGGGAGCCAGCCUUUGUCUCCCCAUCCGAGCAAUGGGCAUUAUCUGUCCUUCUUAGAGAGCUCAGCUAGGCAAGAGCACAGUAGCUUCCGACUCAGGCCUACCAUCUUCAGAUCCUGGCCACAGUUCUCACUGACCUAUGCCUCAGUUUCCCCACCUGCAAGUCAGAGGUGGCAUCCAUUCUUUCCUUCGUGGUGGAGAAGGUAAGACGCGGCUGACACUACAUAGCAGGCGUUCAAGCCGAUCCCAAAGCCGAUCACUCGCUCCUGACCCAAUGCAACCACGUCUACCCCGAGCUAACCUUGUGCCAGGUGGGCUGAGUGCCAGGCCGUAACAUCCAGCUGCUGCGGCAGAUUCUGAUGUUUGCCCUUCUCGACAGCAGGCAGGUGCACAGACUCCUUUCCAGUUACACCCAGCAGAGAAAUGAACAGACCAACCAACUACCAAACACCAAGAGAGGAAGUAGCCCCAGGAGCACAGACAGAAAGGGGGGUCCGUGAGGGCCACUAAGGGAGCAGGGAGGGCAAGGCAUUGAUGCCCAGAUCCCACCCAUAUAUGUCACAGAAGAAAACACUCACAGACAGAGCACCAACAGGGAGCCUGGCACACAGGAGGUCUUCGUCAGAGAACCAAGAGCCCAGCUCCACAGGACAUGAGGACCACGGUCCACUUCAUAGUACACAUAGAAAGACAGGCUUAGACUGUGCAGCCAAGCGCCCCAUUCUGGGGUCUCCAUCUAGGGGGCCUGCAGUUGGUAUAAGCCAAUGGGAGAUGGGGCAACAACAAGCAUCUCAAGAUGGCUGGGCUGUCAUGUUAUCAGCACCCCUCUUGACCGACCCAAACUCUACACAGUCAGGCAGUGCCAAGGACCAAGGCAGUAGUAGAACGUAAACAACCAGGAAAUGGGGCCGGCGUUAUUGCUUUGCUUAGCGGUUUGUGGAGAACGAAGAUGAUCAGUCCAAGUUCCAUGCAGUGACUUCUCAGACAUCAUCAGUAGACAGCCAUGCACCUACAGGACAAAUCCUUUACCCUUGGCCUUGUGUCUCAGCUCUUGAACCACGCUUCUUCCUUCCCUCCAGCUCCUGGCCACUGCCCUGUUACCCAAGAGGGCACUUGGUCCUCCCAUCUGUCCCUCAAACUGUCCUUUGCUCAGACUUCCUGUAUAAGAGCCCACAUCCUAUCUGCCAGCAAACGUCCUUCCUGUGUUCAUGUACCUCUCCUAUCCCAACACAGUAUCAUCCUUGGCCUAUGUUUCUGUGUGUGUGUGUGACAAUAACUGAGUUGUGCUGAUGCACCUUUAGUAAAUGGGAAAGUAAGUCCCAGCGGGGCCAUAUUCCAAGUGUGACCUGCUGGGUGGAGAGUCAGCAUUGUACAAGAAGCUACUGCCGUAAGCUGUGGAAAUGAGCCCAUGUGAGUGAGCCCUGGUGCGUGCAAAGCCAGCUGUGCAUCACCAUGUGCUGUGCACUGCUCACAGCCUCCUGCCAAGAGGCUGCCUGUUCCAGAAUCCAAAAUGUUGGCCUGCGUCCAGCAUCCGGGGGGAGAAGUCUGCUGUCCCAGCCAAGUCAGCUGUCCAUCAACCUUAGAGAAAGCAAGAGGUGAGCCUCACCUGGAUCCCCAAAUGUUCACCCCUCUGUCCAGGGCUUUCUUUAGGACCACCUGCUGAAGAAACACCAUCUCAGCUCACCCCGGGAACUGAAAAUAACCCCAACAAACACAAUGCAUUCUAGAAUAUCCACUCAGUGGAAAUCUGGGCCAUGACUAAAAGCUGCUUCCAGAGACUGCAGAAAGGCAAAGGGAAUGUGUGUGACAUCCAGCCGAGGGAGGAAUCAGCAGGGAAACAAAGGUGUGUGGUCAAGAAACCCCUGGUCACCACCAUUCAGGUUCCUGACUCUCCAACAGGAAAAGCCAGAGAAGAAACAGCGGGGAAGCCAGCUGUGGCUAUCUGAGUAGACCAGCUUCCUCCCUCCUUCCUUAGCCCUGUUGUCCAUUUUUAAUUACUAAGUGCCUUCGAAAAGCCAUGCAGCAUGCUGCCAAACUUCAUAGCAGGGCAUGGGCUCCGCGUUAGAGUUAUCUUCAUCACCUUGUGAAGGGAGUCACAGAUCCUACCCGCCACAGAUGCAGGACCUCAUCCAGUCCUCCACAAAUGCAGGACCUCAUCCAGUCCUCCAAGGUCCAUCAAGGCAGCUGGAUGUAACCAAGCAGCAGGCAGAUGUCGACAAAGACCCCACCCCCGGCUUUUGUUAGUUCCCAGUGCAGCCUAGGCCUCCUCUCCCUCCACGAUGAUCAGAUGUGGGAGAACCAACAGCUGGAGAGCUGUAAACCACCCAAACCAGCACAGCCUUCUCCUCCUGUGUGUCCUGCUGGUGGUAGGUGGAUGCUCUCCCUUCAGGGCCAGCCAGACCCCUGGGAGCACAUUGACUGUGGACAUACCUGCCACUUUGCCUUUGCUAGCAAGUCUGGGUGGCACCCCUGCCUCAGGUCCCCUGAGCUCUACAGGGCUCAGGAGGUGCCCUGACAGCUGCCUUGAAGGGGAUGGGGGGUGGGGAGGGGUAGAUUCAAGUAUGAGAGGGGCCAUCCAUUCACUUCUCUCCCCAAGAACUGGAAUGAUUCCAGCACACUCUUCAAUGCCAAGAGCCAGGAGCAGGCCUCACUUCCCCCAGCAAGGCAGAACUACUUCCCAAGUUCCUAAGUUCCCCUGAGAAAUGUCUCCUGUCCCCCAACCCCUCAACCCCCCAUCUCAGCCAUCCUGCACACCCGGACCAUGCUUUUUCCACCCAUCCACCCAUGGAGGCAGUCAGGAUGAUGGGCAUAAGUCACUCAAGUAGGAACAAGCUGUGAUGUCUACACGUGACCUUGAGCAACCUAUGUGACCGUCCUCUGCACAUGGGCUUUCUCUUGUCCAAGAUAGAGUUCAUCACUGGGCUCCGGCGAGACUCAUACAAGAACAUAGGUUGGCCAUGCACAAGACCGUGGACAGUCCUCGGCUGUCCUGCUCUGCUUACCUCCUUCAGAGACUGGGCCUGUGUAGGCAGGUCCCAGCCGGUCCACAGGCCUCAGUUUACUGACUGUGCUCACAGAGACACUCUACCACUGCAGGAUGACCACAGGCUUCGAACCCCACACAGGGACUGGGGCCUGAAGCACAGAAGCAGGAUCCACCAUCCCAAGCACACCAGGCAGAAACGAGGGAUUUUUCACUGGGGACAGACACCUGGCUUCACCUCCAGCUGUCACCAACCCCAGGGGUUCUCCUGGUGGCUUUCUGUCCUCUUGUUACCCUGCCCUGACUCCUGAACCAGGCUUCCAUAUUAGCUAAACAGCACAAUCGGCUUCACAACAGGUUCUUCAGCCACAGGACUCCUACAGAAAGAACCUGGCCUUCUCUGCUGAAGUUCGGUAAAAUCCUCUCUCUGGCGGCACAGGCUUCGCACCCCAUCUCCUACAUCAGUUGCACUUGGCUCCACCCCUUCCGUGUCCCAUCUGACUCCACAGGGUUCCUUCCUGGAUCUUCACAGUCUCCCCAUCCUGCUUGGAGCCCAGGCCCUGCCUGCAUCUGUGGAAUGAGAGAGGCACUGCUCUGCAGGAGCUGCAGCCCAGUAGACAGAGCAGAAGUGGAGGCAGGGGGAUGGUCCAAAGUGGCACUGGACACAGCAGGGAUAAGAGUUCCUGCCUACAAAGACACCAGCUUCCAGGUACCCGUAGUAUCUCUUCCCCUAUCCCUGCUGUCCCAUAACGUGGCCCUAUUUGAUGCCUCGUGUCUUGGGUGACAGUGCUUGGAUCUGAAGGUCUUGCACCUUCUCCCCAGGCCCCUGGGAUGGUGUGUUCUCCUCUGUGUGCCCUGAUGGGAAGUCAAGUCUGCAAGACACAGAGGUCUCCAACAAAGGGAAGCCAUCCGACAGAUUGCAUCACUACUCGGAAGAGCCUGGUCACGUGAGAACAAAGGGAUUCAUUGUGUUCACAGUGUUCGAUGCUGCAGCGGUUUGCUACAGCAGCGGACAUGACUGUCCUAAUACACGAUAGAGCCACAGUGACCCACACCACCAGAGAUGGCUUGCCUCCUGAGCCUGCCAUGUUUCAGCCAUCACCAAUAUUAGCCUUCACAACAAUGAUGCACAGUAGAGACAAAUGGGGAAACUGAGGCUCAAAGCAGGGAAGCAUCUCCCUGAGCUCACAUAGCAGGCAUGUGCCAUUUCCCUGAGUCCUGUCCCUCCACAGCCUGGAUGCUGUACAAGACAAUGUUCAGAACAUCAAAUCAAGCAUGGCGUGGUGAUUAGCUUUACGGCAAUUUGACACCAGCUGGAGUCAUUGGAGAGGAGGGAGCCUCGGUUGAGAAAAUGCCUCCAUGAGAGUGGGUUAUAAGUAAGUCUGUAGGACAUUUUCCUAAUUAGUGAUUGAUGGGGGAGGGCCCAGCCCAUUGUGGGUGAGUCAGGACUCUAUAAAAAAGCAAGCUGAGCCAGACGGCAGUGGCACACAUCUUUAAUCCCAGCACUCAGGAAGCAGAGCCAGGUGGAUCUCUGUGAGUUCGAGGCCAGCCUGGUCUACAGGGUGAGAUCCAGGACAGGCACCAGAAUUACAUGGAGAAAUCCUGUCUUAAAAAAGGA